GGCGGCCGGGUACAGGAAACGGAGGUUCCUGUCCCGCGUUCCGCGCCGCCCGGCCACGCUACAUUGAGAGACCGGCGGGAGGGAGCGCACUGCGCUUCCCUCCUGCCGGUCACUCAAAUCCGGCCGCCCUCCACAGCAGUGCUGCUCCGCCUGAGGCUUGUAAAAGCGCUCAGGCGGCGAGGCAUGAGGAGCCGCCGGGCCAGGGAUCCAGCGCCCCCUGUUAAGGUGCGCCCUAGGCGGCUGCCUCGGUCGCCUUACAGGUAGCGCCGGCCCUGGUGGUAACGGACUUUCACCAAAAUAUAUUGACCUUUUACAAUGAGCGCUAUUAGAGGCAGAAAUUACUGGGACACUUAACACCUCCAGAUCAUCCUUGGUAAAUGUCCAGCUUGCCCAUACCUUACAUGCCCAUAAGAAAGACAAAGUUUAGAUCCCCCUGUAGAACGCUGUCCGGUGAUUAGUGUAGGCUCAGGCUUGUUAAAGCUUGUACAAGCAGAUGUGGCAACAAUUUAGUUAGAUCAUACAUAUUGUACAGUAGACGAGCAAAUCACCUACAUCAGUUAUAAUUAAUAUUACGUACCAGUCCAAUAAAUAAUAAUGUAAUAACUACCAAAAUAACUGUAAAACACAGGGAUAUUUACUAAAGUGAGAAUUGUCAGGAAUUCAAAGAGAAUUUUAAAGUUUAGCCCCAACUUUUGCCUAAAGUUCUACUACUAAACAUUUUAUCAUGUAAUAAAUACAAAUACCGGUACCACUUUUUGAAGACAUACGAAACUUAAAGCAAUCAAGUAUUUUUACUUUUAUUUUCCAUGUUGAUCUUGCAGUCUUAACACUACAUGUUUCACGUGUAAAAAAAUUGCUACUGUAGUUUAAUUUUUUAACCCUUUAAAUGCUGAAUACAAUUAAUGACUACUUGAUGUCUUCCUGAAAAUCAAUGCACAAUUUUAUUUUUUUUGCCCUGUCUUUUUUCACCAGCGCUGAAUUGUUCUCUCAUCGGCAAGGUCUUCUAAUGCGGUGGAUAACAUUGGUACUUUAAUUUUUAAAGAUUAAAAUAAAAAAAUAAAACGACUAAUGACUAUUUUAGAAGUUUUCGAUGCUUUAAAGAAAAGCUUUGUACUGGAUUAGAAUUGUAAUUUUAUGGAUAAAUAUAAACAGUUUUCCUUUCACCUGGCAAUAUACAAUUAUUGUAAAUAAAAUGAAUUUAAACAUUUAAAUAGUGAAUUAUGGUAUUUCAGCUGAUUAUUUGUAUGUUUGUGAUUUACAGUUGCGAUGUACGGUUGUCUUUUUUGGGGGGAAAGGGGUAAGCUGGGUGAUCACUCAUCAAAAUAGCG
Pelobates cultripes (western spadefoot toad) is the source of this 1328-nucleotide non-coding RNA. NCBI's taxonomy places the organism in Eukaryota, Metazoa, Chordata, Amphibia, Anura, Pelobatidae. The record is from the annotation of a GenBank genome assembly.